Molecule: signal recognition particle RNA, 299 nt
Filed under: Saimiri boliviensis boliviensis (Bolivian squirrel monkey)
Lineage: Eukaryota; Metazoa; Chordata; Mammalia; Primates; Cebidae
Description: Metazoan signal recognition particle RNA (ENSSBOG00000009814.1)
Rfam family: Metazoan signal recognition particle RNA
About the family: The signal recognition particle (SRP) is a universally conserved ribonucleoprotein. It is involved in the co-translational targeting of proteins to membranes.
Source: RNAcentral
GCCGGGCACGGUGGCACGUGCCUGUAGUACCAGCUACUCAGGAGGCUGAGGUGGGAGGAUCCCUUGAGCCCAGGAGUUGUGGGCUGUAGUGCGCUAUGCCGAUUGGGUGUCCACACUAAGUUUGGCAUCAAUAUGGUGACCUCCCGGGAGUGGGGGGCCACCAGGUUGCCUAAGGAGGGGUGAACUGGCCCAGGUCGGAAAUGGAGCAGGUCAAAACUCCCGUGCUGAUCAGUAGUGGGACCGCGCCUGUGAAUAGCCACUGCACUACAGCCUGGGCAACAUAGCGAGACCCCGUCUCU